UCAAAUAAAAGUUAUAAUUUUUAUGAAUAUGAAAGGAGCAAAACUUAUAGAAUUAAAACUUAUUCCAUCCCUGAUGAAUAUAAGUAUGAAAAUGAAUUAAUAAAGUUUCCGUCUAAAAUGACCAGGUAAUAUAUGUAGCUUAAGAACUAUAUAGCAAGUAAAUGAAAGUCAUUUUAUUCAGAGAACUUCAUGGGAACCUAAUAUCUUUUGAGUAUCUCUUAUAAGAUAAAUGAAACUAGACUAACUUGUAUGAGUCACCAAAUUAAAGGAUAAAUAUGCUAAGAAAACAAAUUCUUUAUUGCAUUAUAAUGAAAAACAAUCUUAUAAACUGUAGGACACUUUGAUCUGGAUGUUUAGUCUGAGGCUAAUGAAAGAACUCAUUCAUCUGAUUUUUUCCAUGGCCUGUCUAGGAUUUCCGGAUACACACUGAGUCUAGAACUGUGGGCUAAAUGGGCAUUU
RNAcentral lists this long non-coding RNA (459 nucleotides) under Pongo abelii (Sumatran orangutan). Its description in RNAcentral is "lincRNA". The record is from RNAcentral. Lineage: Eukaryota; Metazoa; Chordata; Mammalia; Primates; Hominidae.